GAGCUCGUAGCUCAGUUGGUUAGAGCGCUACGUUGACAUCGUAGAGGUCACUGGUUCGAGUCCUGUCGAGCUCA
RNAcentral lists this transfer RNA (74 nucleotides) under Melampsora pinitorqua Mpini7. Its description in RNAcentral is "tRNA-Val (GAC) (tRNA-Val-GAC-1-1)". It matches the Rfam family "tRNA". From Rfam's summary of the family: Transfer RNA (tRNA) molecules are approximately 80 nucleotides in length. Lineage: Eukaryota; Fungi; Basidiomycota; Pucciniomycetes; Pucciniales; Melampsoraceae. The record is from RNAcentral.